AGCAAAUGUCGCUUCCCAGAAGGAGGCUUUAAGAGUGAGCGUGAGUUCUACUUCCCAGCUGCCGUUACCACAGAAACAGACGUUGUCAAGGGGCCUGUGUCUCCCGGGCUGCCUGGUGACUAAGAGCCCCUUCACCGCCACUGCAGACGCGGAGUUUGGAUCAGAUACAAACUUUUAACCUUUUAAGCCACCAGAGUCUGGAGGUGCAUCCUAACAUGGCGGGGGGCGGGGUCACCAAGACGACGUGACCCCCAGGGGACCCCGGAGCUGGACUCCCGCAAUCGGAGGCCCCGCCCCGCUCCCCGCUCCUGGGAACGCGCAUUCCGCGGCCUCCGCUCUCCCGGAAGCGGCUCCAAGGACACGGCCCUGAGGCGAGCCUGCGGUGUGGACCAUCCGCGCACAACCCACGACCGAAUCCAGUUAAGGCCUCUAGAUAAGCUUCCAGGUCUACUCACCCCGCGGCCACCUGCAUACGACAGAUCAGUUCUGCCCUGGAGAGAUUUCGCAACUCUAGACUACCGUAUGGUCUUAUGGUGGGCAAUUAUUAGAAAUGAGCAACAUCAUGAAAAAUCAGUUAUUUCACUGAAUCUGGCCAGCAAUUACAAGGACAUUCCAAGUGGCAGGAGCCGUUUGCAAGAGAAGCUGGAGAAAUGAGUCCAACUUUCAUCUCCAGGUCAAAGUAUUUGUUUUCAGGAGUCUUUUCUGGAAAUUAUGUAUUUUUCCUCUGUGUUUUUGGUGUGCCAGGAUAUGAAGCUUCAGCCACUCACUCUUGAAAGACUUCUUUACUUAACAGGUUCCAAUCAUCUUGGUCCCAAGGACUAUUUAUGCCAUAUGCAUCUUCUUCAAUAUCUAUUAUGUUUAGCUUUAUCUCCAGCAAGCCACACUCCUGAAGCUGCAACUGUGUGGUAGGGCAGCAAUGGAAACAAGGGAGAUACUCAAAGGGAGGAGAAUCCUUCUCUCUAAUCAGAGAAACUGUGAAGGACCAAGGAGGAAAAUCUUCAUUUUUACCUUCCAUCUUCCUGCCAUUUGCAUCUGGAAGCAGAAGCAGGCACAGGACAUAUAUUCAGUUUCACAGAAGAUCAAUAGAGAAGCUGUCUUGGGACAAUGUAAAAAUCAAUGAAACCUCUCUAGAGUUUGAGGAGGAGCCCCUGAAUUCAGGCAAGCGGCCAGAGCCCAAGAUGACCCAGUGCAAGGAAAGGAGAUGGAGAGGAUGUGUCGUCAACAUCUGAAUCCACGACUGGGGAUCCCUGGGUGGCUCAGCGGUUUGGCGCCUGCCUUUGGCCCAGGGCACAAUCCUGGGGUCCCAGGAUCGAGGCCCGCAUCGGGCUCCCUGCAUGGAGCCUGUUUCUCCCUCCUCCUGUGUCUCUGUCUCUCUCUCUCUCUCUCUAUCCUAAAUAAAUAAAUCUUAAAAAAAAAAAAAAAAAAAAAAAAACACCUGAAUACACGAGAGCUGGAGUAAAUUAGCUCUACUUUAGUACACCUCUUUCCAACAACUUCAGCAGGAACACAUUUUGUUAAUCCUCAAAAGCUAAAACAGAGAUUAUUAACUUUCAUAGUUUGUUUGAAUCACUCAAUUUUCAUACCACGGGAGUCCUGUCCUCGUUGCUGUACUUACCAGCCCUUUGCUGAUUAUGAAGAAAAAAAAAUUGUGAUUUAUCUUUGACUACCACAAAGUUUUGAAAAAUAUUUUCACAAUGAAACUCUCUGGUACUGUCCUAACGUAAAUUAUUUUGUGUACUCAAAACCAAUUACUAUAUCAGUUGUAGUUGAGUCUGAUCACUUCUACACUGAUUUUAUUAUUAGCCCUGGCCCAUAUGCCCUAGUGAACAUAGAUUAGCAGUUUACAAAGUAGGUAUAGAAUAGAAAACAAAUUAUUUCCUCAGUAUUAACUGAAAAUAAUGCUAGCUGUCCUUCCUUCAGAAAAAGGUAUCAAAAAGGUAUCCUUUCUUUAAAAUAUUAUAUCAGGGACGCCUGGGUAGCUCAGAGGUUGAGCACCCGUCUGCAUUCGGCUCAGGGCGUGAUCCCAGGGUCCUGGGAUCCAGUCCCACAUCAG
This is a long non-coding RNA of Canis lupus familiaris (dog), 2053 nucleotides long. RefSeq lists it as uncharacterized. The transcript has 5 exons. NCBI's taxonomy places the organism in Eukaryota, Metazoa, Chordata, Mammalia, Carnivora, Canidae. The record is from RefSeq and is a predicted model, not a curated record.